Molecule: RNA transcript, 1150 nt
Organism: Salvia splendens (bonfire salvia)
Lineage: Eukaryota; Viridiplantae; Streptophyta; Magnoliopsida; Lamiales; Lamiaceae
Gene name: TPR repeat-containing thioredoxin TDX
Exons: 5
Source: RefSeq, a predicted model, not a curated record
UCUCACAAACUCAAGCAAGCUAAGGAGAGAAAAUGGAGGCGCAAAGGAUUCAGGAAUUGAAGGGUUUGGUGGAGUUCUGCAAACUAAACCCACAUGUCUUACACACUCCGUCUCUUGCAUUUUUCAAGAAUUUUCUGCAAAGUUUUGGAGCUCGAAUUCCGGCGUUUGGAGGAUCGAGCAAUGAUGGUGAGGACCAUGAAGAUAAAAAGCCGUUUGCUUCAAGGAAGCGCAAUGCACCAAUGGAGGAUGCCUUAAAUGACGACAUUGUUGAAUCUGACGCUGAGUUAGAUAAUUCAGACAUUGUGGAGCCUGACAAUGAUCCUCCACAGAAAGUGGGUGCUGUUGAAGUAACCGAAGAUAAUCAAGAAGCUGCUCAGUUAUCGAAAGCAAAAGCUAUGGCAGCACUCGCUGAAGGAGAAGUCAUCCUGAUUCAUUCUGGUAGCGACUUGGAUGAGAAACUCGAUGCUGCUUCAAAGGCAUCUUGCCUCUCAGUUCUCUACUUCACCGCAACGUGGUGUGGGCCUUGCCUUUAUGUCGGCCCUGUUUUCACUAGCUUGGCGGCUAAAUACCCAAAAGUCGUUUUCUUAAAAGUAGACAUCGACGAGGCUAGACAGGUUGCUUUCAAAUGGGGCAUCAGUAGCAUCCCGACCUUCUUCUUCAUCAGAAAUGGUGAGGAGGUGGAUCAGCUCGUCACCGUGGACAAAAACGCGCUCGAGCAGAAGAUUGCUCAGCAUGCUUGAUUGAUUGUGUUGGAACAACCAUCUACAUUUGAUAUAUAGAACUACAUUUUUACAAAUAACUUUCCUUUGUUAUUAUGUUUGGAUAUUACAUGUGAGUUGUCUCACCUUACAAAUGUGAAGGAAAAAAGAGAUCAGUUAGAGAAGGCUGCAGUGAGCAAACUGGAGUUGCUUGCAAUGCUGAGCUGAAUGAAGAUGAUCCAAGUCACUGCCAUGUGAGCAAGCUUGGAGCACGAGAUAGAGUCAAGAUUGUACCACUGCCAGCUGGUGAAGAUCAGAGAGAUGUUGUGGUCUUGCCUAACAAAAGUGAGGGCCAAAAGUGUAUUUGGAGAGACAUAGUUGUUAAAGCAUUGAUGGAGAAGAAAGCUUAGUGAUUCUGUUAUGAUUAGUGUCUGUAAUCGGCUUGUACAAGA